CAGUAGCCGCGGUAAUACGGAGGGUGCAAGCGUUAAUCGGAAUUACUGGGUGUAAAGCGUGCGCAGGCGGUUAUAUAAGACAGGUGUGAAAUCCCCGGGCUCAACCUGGGACCUGCAUUUGUGACUGUAUAGCUAGAGUACGGUAGAGGGGGAUGGAAUUCCGCGUGUAGCAGUGAAAUGCGUAGAUAUGCGGAGGAACACCGAUGGCGAAGGCAAUCCCCUGGACCUGUACUGACGCUCAUGCACGAAAGCGUGGGGAGCAAACAGGAUUAGAUACCCCUGUAGUCCCUGUCUCUUAUAC
Molecule: ribosomal RNA, 301 nt
Filed under: uncultured bacterium
Lineage: Bacteria
Description: partial 16S ribosomal RNA
Rfam family: Bacterial small subunit ribosomal RNA
Source: RNAcentral